UGGGGAAUAUUGGACAAUGGGCGCAAGCCUGAUCCAGCCAUGCCGCGUGAGUGAUGAAGGCCCUAGGGUUGUAAAGCUCUUUCACCGGUGAAGAUAAUGACGGUAACCGGAGAAGAAGCCCCGGCUAACUUCGUGCCAGCAGCCGCGGUAAUACGAAGGGGGCUAGCGUUGUUCGGAUUUACUGGGCGUAAAGCGCACGUAGGCGGACUUUUAAGUCAGGGGUGAAAUCCCGGGGCUCAACCCCGGAACUGCCUUUGAUACUGGAAGUCUUGAGUAUGGUAGAGGGGAGUGGAAUUCCGAGUGUAGAGGUGAAAUUCGUAGAUAUUCGGGGGAACACCAGUGGCGAAGGCGGCUCACUGGACCAUUACUGACGCUGAGGUGCGAAAGCGUGGGGAGCAAACAGG
RNAcentral lists this ribosomal RNA (404 nucleotides) under Actinomycetes bacterium. RNAcentral describes it as "Actinobacteria bacterium partial 16S ribosomal RNA". It matches the Rfam family "Bacterial small subunit ribosomal RNA", at positions 355 to 776 of the family's 1533-position model. The record is from RNAcentral. Lineage: Bacteria; Bacillati; Actinomycetota; Actinomycetes.